GGUGGGGAUUAACUCGACAUUUCCACUAUGUCCCAGAAAUAUUAGCUGCAUUUUUCUGGACUGUUCCAGCUCUUUUUAACCACGCUUUACCCUACUUUUAUGUGGUUUUUCUUACAAUCCUUCUCCUCGACCGGGCGAAAAGGGAUGAUGAUCGGUGCCGAUCCAAGUAUGGAAAAUACUGGAAAUCGUACUGCGAGAAGGUUCAGUACAGGGUCAUCCCCGGAAUUUACUGAGAAAAUGUUGCACAAGUGUUUGUUCUAUGUUGAGAAUGGCAUGUAUAUUCAGCCUUUCCAAAUUAAAUGAUGGCAGGCUGGUAUCAUGUUGUUGUUAUUGUUGUUUUUGUAAUGGUCAACUUUAUGGAUGUUGUAUUUCUCUCAUCUUCAAUGACCAAAAACUUUUCUUGUUUAGGAAAAUUACUAUAAAGUUUUGUUUCUAUUUUUCAUUUUUGAAGUAAAAAUUGUUCAAGAUUAUAAAA
Long non-coding RNA from Humulus lupulus (European hop), 475 nucleotides. RefSeq lists it as uncharacterized. The record is from RefSeq and is a predicted model, not a curated record. NCBI's taxonomy places the organism in Eukaryota, Viridiplantae, Streptophyta, Magnoliopsida, Rosales, Cannabaceae. The transcript has 3 exons.